GACGGAAGGUGCAAGCGUUGCUCGGAAUCACUGGGCGUAAAGGGUGCGUAGGCGGCCGUGCAAGUCUGGCGUGAAAGCCCCGGGCUCAGCCCGGGAAGUGCGCUCGAAACUGCGCGGCUCGAGUGCCGGAGGGGAGAGUGGAAUUCCUGGUGUAGCGGUGAAAUUCGUAGAUAUCGGGAGGAACACCAGUGGCGAAGGCGGCGAUCUGGGAAGAUACUGACGCUGAGGUGCGAAAGCGUGGGGAGCAAACAGG
This 253-nucleotide ribosomal RNA is filed under the name uncultured bacterium. RNAcentral's name for it is "partial 16S ribosomal RNA". It matches the Rfam family "Bacterial small subunit ribosomal RNA", at positions 524 to 776 of the family's 1533-position model. The record is from RNAcentral.